CAGGCGCUACAUUUCUAGAAACGGGAGUUUUCCUCUCUGCCUCUCCAGCCUGAAGGGAGGAGCAUCCAGAUCUCUGCCUCCACCAGAAAUCCUCUUACAGGAUCUGCUCCUUCCAGCUUCAGCAGGAGUCCACACUGUGUGGUAGGUGUUCACUGGGCAGCCCCAGGAGUCCACACUGUGAGGUAGGUGUUCACUGGGCUGCCCCA
RNAcentral lists this long non-coding RNA (206 nucleotides) under Mus spicilegus (steppe mouse). RNAcentral's name for it is "lncRNA (ENSMSIG00000009415.1)". Lineage: Eukaryota; Metazoa; Chordata; Mammalia; Rodentia; Muridae. The record is from RNAcentral.